AGUAAAGAACUUUGUGUCCGUGAGAAUUUAGUUUUAAAAGUUGAUUGGGUGGGCCGAAACCUGACAUUGUUCUUUCCCGUGUGGAUUGGAACCCAUCAUCAUUUGGAUAUCCCUUGUAUUCAUAAUCGGGACAUACUCUAACUCCAUACAUAAGGCCUUGGGAAGUUUAGGCUUUUCAGCAGUAAACCAAGAGACCAGUAAUAAAUCGUCCGUAAAUAGCUUGCUGAGGAUAUCCUUUUCCAGCGAUCCUGUCAUUUACAUAGCACAGACGUAUUGGAGUUUCUUUGUUGAAAUUAAUCAUUUAGGACUGCACCUACCGACGCAAUUAUGUAAGCAGUGAAUUAGCAGCAUCAUCGCGGGUCAAGCUAAACAGUAUUUAGAAAUCCGAUUCAAGGCAAAGCAAAGUACGUUAUAUCGGCACAAAUAGUAUCGAAAUUUCAUAUUCUUCAAACUGAACUUCCUAUAGAAUAAAUAAUUAAUUUACAGUGUACAUCUUUGACCUCGAUGACCCAGUUGAAAUACUUGUAAGGAACGUUGUGUAAGGAAAGUCGGUUACCGUGUUCCAACCCCUGAAGAUUAUUUUACGCACACUUAUAGUGUAGAAAAAUUGAAGAACCUGUCACAACUGAAGAGUUUGUUAGUUUUUUUGCUUUAACGCGCUAAUCUCAAGAACUACUGGUCCGAUUUGAAAAAAAUCUUUCAAUGUUAGAUAGCCCAUUUAUCGAGGAUGGUUAUAGCCUACUUUUUAUCUGGGUUCGUGCAGACAUUCUCACGGGAUACGGGUUAAACUACUGGCAGAAGCUAGUCUCAUAUAAAGUGGAUAUGUGGCAAACAGCUCAAAAAGGAAGAUAAACGAAUACAGCAGAAGGCCUCGUUAUAUGCAUCUAGUUGGCUCUCAAGUCACACAAUGACGCGUUAAUAAUUAGAAUGCGCUCCUAAAACCAACCAAUCAACGUCAGUUCACAGGUACUUCAGAAGAAGGAGUUAUACCCGUCCAUUCUAUCACUCUCUCUCUUCUUCUAAUGGAUGCGCAAUAUAUUUGAGAGCGACCAUCGAAAUUCCAGCAACUAACUACAUAUCACGGAUAAAAUAAUAAAAGUGAAAAUAAAAACGUAAUUUAUUUAAUGUGUGCAAAGAGCUGCACCUGUUAGGUACUUCGAUAAAAUUACAGUUACUGUCGUCAAACCGAAACAAAAUAAAACUAAUUACGAAGAAAGGACUCAAAAGUAAAGAAAAAAAAACACGCUUACACGUCAUGUUCUCCACUGCCACACUAUCUAUGUACAUGUUUUCGAAAAAUAAUUACGUAGCGAAACGUUAAAAAAAGAAAUAUUAUGUACGACGAGAUGGUCAGGUAUCAGAAACUUCGCUCAGUGGAUUCACCGGACAUUGACCAAGUUCCACAAGUUUACCAUUCCAUUCUCUAUUGAUACUUGUUGUUAUGAAUAUCGAAUUCACUGCUACUGCCCAAACAAUCGCCUUGUUAUAAUAGAAUGUUAUGUAAACAUCGUCGCUGGCACCGACCAUUUCUCAUAACAUGAGCCACAAUAAGAUUUUUGUUCUGUCUGUACAUACUUAUUACCUUCUCACAAGUGGAUAGUUAACUGCACAACCGGGAAUACAAUAAACUCUCAAGAAUCGAACUAAUUUAUUUGGACGUUAUUUUAAUCUUAUUUUUACCGUUUCGUACUUCCGACUGAAAUAGUGUGUAUUUUUUGAGUGAGAAUUUAAAUUGAAUUAAAGAAAAACCUAAUUGUGCCUCGUUUGUAGGUAUUGUUUGUUGGAAAUCAACCUUAAUGUUUAAACAUGACGCAUAUAUGGAACUCAAUUUGCGUGGAAUUAAUAAAAUUUGCAUUGUUUCAAAAUUAAUUGUGAAAGAAACAUAUCAAGGAGUGAACACGGAAUCUAGACGUAAUAAAGAUAAACUGAAAGAUUGCAUAAUCCCCUUAAGAUAAAAGCUGAAAUGGCGUAAUUUAAAAUGGGUAACAUUGGAGUUAUUGAAACGAGGGCAAUCGAUAGUUUGUGACGAUAUGUGGACUAGAUAGUGAAAUGAAUAGAUAUUUUUUAUGUUGAGCGGGUGACCGUGUCAUUAGGGGUGGGAGGCGUCCUUGAAUUCGUUGUCAGGGUCUACGUGAAUACCUAUAUGCAUCGGUAUGUCAUGCCUGCACCCGAUAUUGACGCCGAGGGGGAAAUAUGCCAUGGAAUGACAUCGUAAUGUUGCAAUGUUUGAAGAACUGUUGACGAAGUAAAGAACGUUGGUCGAUGAAGUAAAUACGCAAGAGUCGCUAAUUUCAAGAUGGCCGCUCAAGGAGGUAAUGUAUCGUCGAUAUCGAACCUUUUUAAAUUUUUAAACUUAUUAUUCCUAGAGUUGUAGAUUUUCUUAUUUUUAACUUUUUAUUUUAAAAAAGAAAUAAUUCAAUACCUUAUUUUUAAAACGAAUCUAAAGUUAAGAUUAGAAGUUACUUUCUUUUAUUAAAAUAACGGUUUCAGCUGCUAUUGAUGUCACUGUUGGCAUAUGUGUUGGCUAAAUACAUUUUGUUGAAAUUCUGUUUUGAUACCCACUUACAUGAGGUAACGUACAUUUUACAGGUAAGUGAAGUAAGUUUUUAGGAUCACUAGGAUUUGAUAAACAGCUGGUAAUUGAAGUAUUAUUAAGCAUAUUUCUUUAUAUAAACCUGCCUAACCUUUUGCCAUGCUUGCGUCGGCUUCCACUCUAACCAGAUGCAGCUGUGUACCAGUGUCUUCAUGGAGCGACUACUUCUCUGACCUCAAACCAGUUACCUAAGGAACCCAACUAUUACCCCUCGGUGGGCGUGGUUGUCAUACUUUCUGGCAUGACAAGAUUGUCACCCAUCCAUGGACCGACUGAACCAAGUGUUGCUUAACCUUAUGAUCGAUGGAGCCGUGCAGCUGUAACUUAGCCACAAGCUCCAAUUAAAAUACUAAUUGUGUACUGAUAGAAUAAUAAAUAGGGUUAAUUCACUCCAACUAUGAUUGAAAGUAAAUUAUUACCUGACAAUUAUCAACGAUCAAACAUAAGCAAGUAUCGUAUUUAUGUUGCCUUGGAAUUUUAAUGGAAUAAUAUUAUUAAGAUAUCAAAUAAAUUACGUGAAGAGAAACAAGUUUUUACUUUCAUUUGUCACUGUCAUCUUGACACAUUUGUACUUCUUAAAUAAAUAGAUAUUGGACUAUA
Molecule: long non-coding RNA, 3193 nt
Organism: Helicoverpa zea (corn earworm)
Lineage: Eukaryota; Metazoa; Arthropoda; Insecta; Lepidoptera; Noctuidae
Exons: 2
Source: RefSeq, a predicted model, not a curated record